GUGUCAGCCGCCGCGGUAAUACGUAGGGAGCGAGCGUUGUCCGGAUUUAUUGGGCGUAAAGAGCUCGUAGGCGGCUUGGUAAGUCGGAUGUGAAAGCCCCAGGCUCAACCUGGAGUCGCCAUCCGAUACUGCCAUAGCUAGAGUCCGGUAGGGGCCCACGGAGCUCCUGGUGUAGCGGUGAAAUGCGCAGAUAUCAGGAAGAACACCGGUGGCGAAGGCGGUGGGCUGGGCUGGUACUGACGCUGAGGAGCGAAAGCGUGGGGAGCGAACAGGAUUAGAUACCCUAGUAGUCC
RNAcentral lists this ribosomal RNA (293 nucleotides) under uncultured Acidimicrobiales bacterium. RNAcentral describes it as "partial 16S ribosomal RNA". It matches the Rfam family "Bacterial small subunit ribosomal RNA", at positions 505 to 796 of the family's 1533-position model. Lineage: Bacteria; Bacillati; Actinomycetota; Acidimicrobiia; Acidimicrobiales. The record is from RNAcentral.